AUUCGUUGUGAGGUCUUUGCUCUUCUGAUAAAGUGGUGAAAAAUAAUACAAUAUUAUUGGAUGAGCAAAAACAGAUUUUGCACAUUCCUCCACUAGUGUAGAAUCGUCCCGAUUUUCUUUCGCAAGAUGUAAUAGAGAUAUUAAAAGAAUUUUAUAUUUACUGAUUUGAAUCGUUGAUAAAAGUCCUCGUUUAGCAAAUUGUGUUAAAUAAAAUACGGUCAUCUUGAAUAGGCACAUGAUUUCGUAUGCUGAUAAAGAAUGUUGAAUUUUAAUAACUUCAUUAUUAUACGUAAAAGUCACUGUAUUGUCACCGCUAAAUACUUCGUUUAUCUGUAUGUUAGUAUUAUCUAACAAUAAUCGAUUCAAUUUACAUAAUAAAUCCAUAGACGGAAUUACUUCUUCAAUAUAAAUAGGGUCAUUGCCCUCUGACCAGCUUUGUAAAUAUUUCUGAACUGGUAAAUCCUGUAUAUUUCUUGUCAAAUGUAUUAUGCUCUGUGGCAAAGCUUGAUAGUGUAAUGUAUGAAUUAAUACAUAAGAAGCAUACGAUAAUAUUGCAGGAUCUACAUUUUUCUCCAUUUUAUGUAACAUGCAACACAGCAAAGGCGAUAUCGACGUAAAGCGUUGCAUAUGUAAAAUAUUAUUUUCUGAACUUUUAUGAGUAGUAUUUUUAUCCAUCAAUUCUGAAAAAUAGACAUAUAUUAUAAUAUAUACAAAUGAGGUAUAAAUUAUAUCUACUAUUUAAAUAAGUCUUACCAUUAAAUAUAUCUUCUAACCGUCCAGCAUAAAUGACUCCUUCGCUAAUAGUUUCGUCUGUUUUUAUAAUUUCAUCUACAUAUCUCUCCAUAUUUUUUGCAACCUUUUUUAAAAGACGAACAAACCAAUCAACUACUUCCUGCUUUUUAUCUAGAUUUAUGAAACCAUUGAUCCAAAUAUCUAAAUGAUCACUGCAUCCUUCAAACAUACCGGUAACGUUCAGUAACAUCUUUAUCGUUGAUUUUAUACUUGAUACAUCGAAGGUGUCUUCAUUAUUCAAAAGAGACAGUAGAAAUGUUAAUGCGUCGGUAAAUACUUUCUAAAUGGACAAAAGAUUUUAAAUAAGAAAAGACAGAAUAUAGAUCAAAUAAAAAUUAAUUAAAAAAAUUCAAGGUUUUCCUCACUUUUUGCGGUAAAAAUUCAGCAGGAUUCAGAAUGAUUAAAAACUGUAUAGCUUUCACUUGUAUAGUGUUAAGCUGAAGAAUAUCAACAUCUUGUAAUGUAUUUAAUGGACUUAAAAAUGUAGUGGCCGGUAUAUGUAACAAUGCAUGCAAUAAUUUCGGACAUAUUUCAUUGUACAGGUGUAAUAAGUUUAAAAUGGCUAACAAAUGUUCAUCUUUCUUUGGUUCUGGAAUGCAUUCUUUGUUUGUACUGUCAUGUUCAAUUUCAUUUGGUACAAAUACGUAACUCCACACAUCCAAUAUUGUAUUUAUAUUGGGUGCAUUCUGAAAUGUAAAAAGAUUUAUUUUGUUGUAGUAAAUUUGUAGUUAUUUUGUUUUUAUACAUUAUGUUAUCUAUUCAAGUAAUAAAGACAUACCUUCAGGAUAUAUUCUAACAUAGAGUUUUUAAAAGUAUAAAAAUCAGUAUAUUCGUUGUAAUUUACUUUUGCAGCUAACAAAAACUUUUGUAUUUGAUUAAACAUUGUUAUAAGUGUAAGUACUGCUUCAUGUCUGACUACUAUACUUGAAUGCAUUAAAGAUGGUAAAAUUGCAUGUUUUAAUACUGUCCCUGAUAGAAGUAACGACAUUACUGCAGAAGCUAACUGAGAUACAUUUAAUUCCACUGAACAUAUUCUAAAGCAAACCUCUGGAUCUAACGAUACUAUUAUCUGUAACGAAAAGUAAAGUGAAUAUCUUGAAACACACAUUGAAUUACAAGUUUCAAUAUCAUAUAAAUUUUACAUAUUUAUUAUCAUUACCUCCCUCACAAAUUUCAUUACUGCAAUCCAUUUCGUUGAUAGUCUUGCUUCAAGAUGUUGUUCUAACAGUGUAAACUGUGAUUUAAUUAAAUCUGGACAUGCAGUCACUAUUCGGAUUACCAAAUCCGAUGGUUUCUCAUGUUCCCAAGGACGGUCCAAACUUUGAAGUAUUAUAUUCACUAACUGAUUAUGUUUAGUACGUGAUGUACCAAGUGUAUGAUCAUGGAAUAUAAUUCCAUAUCGAUGAGAUGUUAAUAAUACAGUUAAAAAGUCAUGUACUAUUUCAUUUAUAAUCUGAAAGUAAAACAUUUUAUAAUUUACAUAAUAGAAAAACAUUUUUAAUAGAAGACGUUUAAUUAAAACAUGGUAUUAACAAAUGUAAAUACCUUUUUAUCUUCAAGAUAUUCUGGAUUUUCGGUAAAAGAAUUUUGUGUUUUAUUUCCUGGCCAAUUAUUUGGACCUUUCCAAUUAUAGAGAUACACAAGGUUUUGAAUGACCGAUGUUGUGAAUAUAUGUAAUUUCAUAGUCUUACUAAUUUUCGAAUUUUGAAGAAUAUGAAUCUUCAAUGUGGUUACUAUCAAAGCAACAAUAUCUUUGGAAUCAUAUAUCAAAUCAGGAAAUAUACUAGAAAAUAGACCAUGUUUAUUCAAUAGAGCUCUAAUGGACGAUACAUUUCCUUCUAUCAAGAAAGCAAGAAUGAAAUGGAUGAAACAAUUUCUUAUAUUCUGACUAUCUGUGGGCUUUGUGUGCCUUGCAAGAGAUUUAAUAAGUUCUGGUUCUAAAGAAAGAUGAGCAAUCAAUUCCCGUGGCAGACUACGACCUAAUGAAACUACUGCAGCUAACAAUUGCAGGAUAAUUUUUCGUUGUUUUGCAUUACUUUGAAUAGAAAGCAUAGAAUGCACUAAUGGUAGGUGCGAGUUAAUUAAGUGCCUACAUGCUCCUUCUGCACUGGAUUGAUAUUGUGGAUACUCUGCCAUAAUUCUGAGAAUGCAUACAGAAAUUAAUACAUAUUUAUACUAUAAUAUAAACAUUUAUAUAAUACUUAAGUAUACAUACUUUAACAAUAUUAUUCUUGUUGCAGAAAAAACAACAGUGGAAGAACCAAUACUUUUCUUAUCUGUGUUAUCUAAUAAUCUUAACAAUUCAAGAAUAUUGCCACCUGCAUUUAAAUAUUCUGCAGCCAUAUCUCUUUCUUUGUUCUCAUUAUGAGACUUGACAAACUGUCGUAAACACUCUAAACCAUUGAUAGAAUUAAAAGAAGCCCGCAUGGAUUUCCCAUCUACUGGAUUAUUAAUGUCUUUAUUAUCUUCUACAUUUUCUUCAUCAUUGUCAAUACGUUUUGUACCUAGAAAAUAUUUUGUUACUAUGUUUAUAAUAAUCAUUUUAUCUAUUUUUCAGAAUGAUAAUGAAAGAAGGUCUAGAACGUUAAGGAGGAAUAAUACUUGCCAAAUGGAGGAAGCAGAAGCCUUGAUAAAUAAGUGUUAACAAAGUGAUAAAAAAUAGUCAAAAUUAUAAACAAUGUUCAGUUUGGUCAACACUUGGUUUACAUAAAAUGCUAGAUAUUACAUAAAAAUAACAGAUUACCUUAACAGCUUUUUUAUUCAUAAUUAUAGACAAUUUUCUACAUGUCUAUCUCUUUCUGCUAUCAGACAAGUAUUAUCUAUCCUUGAUAUUCCAAAACUUUUUUCAACCAUCCUAUCCACCCUAUGUAAUAAAAUGUUCUAGACAUUUCAAGCGCAUCUGGCUCACAUUUCCUUCUACGCUUUUUAACGACUCCAUAUUCUUUCGAGGGAACCUUUCUAUCCCCACCAUUCUACUGCGCAUCCACCUUCGCGCAAUUGCUUUGGAAAGAAAACGGGAGAUGAUCAAGAAAAUCAGAACGAACUUGAGCUCCGCUGAUCAUAACCACAAUUACAGUGUUCCCACGAACGGAAGCCUAAACCAUCUCAAUUUACCGUGCUUCCAGUGGUCUUCCUCGCGUAUUGUUUCGUAAGAAAGCGAGCCAUAUCGAAUAUCCCUUUCAUUAUUAUAAAGUGAUUGCAAAAUAGAAUAAGAACUGCUGUAAUGUGUGAAAAUAAAAGUACUAUAAAACCCAA
This is a long non-coding RNA of Megalopta genalis, 4047 nucleotides long. RefSeq lists it as uncharacterized. NCBI's taxonomy places the organism in Eukaryota, Metazoa, Arthropoda, Insecta, Hymenoptera, Halictidae. The record is from RefSeq and is a predicted model, not a curated record.